UGGGGAUAUUGCGCAAUGGACGAAAGCCUGACGCAGCAACGCCGCGUGCGGGAAGAAGGCCCUAGGGUUGUAAACCGCUUUCAGUAGGGAAGAAAAUGACGGUACCUACAGAAGAAGGUGCGGCCAACUACGUGCCAGCAGCCGCGGUGACACGUAGGCACCAAGCGUUAUCCGGAUUUAUUGGGCGUAAAGAGCUCGUAGGCGGUUUGGUAAGUCGGGUGUGAAAACUCUGGGCUCAACCCAGAGAGGCCACCCGAUACUGCUAUGACUAGAGUACGGUAGGGGAGCGGGGAAUUCAUGGUGUAGCGGUGAAAUGCGCAGAUAUCAUGAGGAACACCAGCGGCGAAGGCGCCGCUCUGGGCCGUAACUGACGCUGAGGAGCGAAAGCAUGGGUAGCAAACAGGAUUAGAUACCCCGGUAGUCCACGCAGUAAACGAUGUCUAUUAGAAGUUUGUGGCUAUAUGCCGUGGGUUUCAAAGCUAACGCAUUAAAUAGACCGCCUGGGGAGUACGGCCGCAAGGUUA
Molecule: ribosomal RNA, 524 nt
Filed under: uncultured bacterium
Lineage: Bacteria
Description: bacterial SSU rRNA
Rfam family: Bacterial small subunit ribosomal RNA
Source: RNAcentral